Molecule: ribosomal RNA, 253 nt
Filed under: uncultured bacterium
Lineage: Bacteria
Description: partial 16S ribosomal RNA
Rfam family: Bacterial small subunit ribosomal RNA
Source: RNAcentral
UACGUAGGUGGCGAGCGUUGUCCGGAUUUAUUGGGCGUAAAGAGCUCGUAGGCGGCUUGUUGCGUCGACCGUGAAAACCCGCGGCUUAACUGCGGGCUUGCGGUCGAUACGGGCGGGCUGGAGUUCGGUAGGGGAGACUGGAAUUCCUGGUGUAGCGGUGAAAUGCGCAGAUAUCAGGAGGAACACCGGUGGCGAAGGCGGGUCUCUGGGCCGAUACUGACGCUGAGGAGCGAAAGCGUGGGGAGCGAACAGG